This is a non-coding RNA of Triticum aestivum (bread wheat), 125 nucleotides long. The record is from Rfam. NCBI's taxonomy places the organism in Eukaryota, Viridiplantae, Streptophyta, Magnoliopsida, Poales, Poaceae.
CUGAUACUCCCUUCGUCCGGAAAUACUUAUCGCAAAAAUGGGUAAAAAUAUAUGCAUCUAAAACUAAAAUACAGCUAGAUACAUCCAUUCCUCCGACAAAUAUUUCCGGACGGAGGGAGUAUAUG